Molecule: long non-coding RNA, 3630 nt
Organism: Apis mellifera (honey bee)
Lineage: Eukaryota; Metazoa; Arthropoda; Insecta; Hymenoptera; Apidae
Exons: 2
Source: RefSeq, a predicted model, not a curated record
UAUUUAUUUAAAGAAACUUGAAUUAAUCCAAGGAAUCGCCGAUAUUCAAAAAACUUUAAGCCAAUUCCUUCCGAAAAUGGAAGUUUCUAUUCAUGAUACAAUAUCGUGGCAAAUAUCUUGGCGAGUAUCUUGCUCAACUUUUUUUCGUUGACCUCUUUUCCAAGAUCUCUCUCGCCUCUUAAAAUCGUAUACUCGCGGGAAAAAAUGGCGAUUGCGUUUGCGUCGAACCAAACCUAACCUAACCAAAAAUACGUUUAUAGACUCCCGCACGAUCGAGGAGAGAAUUCCAUUUUCAGUCAGGAAUUUAAUUCAUCGUGGAAUUUACGGGUGGAUUUGUUGCGCGAGAAAGGAAGAGACUGGUGGUCGAGAGGUGGUGGUCGCUCUGCCUGUAAGAGGAUAAAGUUUUACGAGCUCGUGAAAAAAAACAUUGACGAUUCGAAAGCUUGCGGCAACAACUGAUAUUCAUCUAUUGACGUGGCAAACAGUUUGGCAAUCCUAUCUCGACACGAUUGUUUCUUCUAUCAAAUGAGAGAUGUUUUUUGUUUUAAUUUAAAUUUUCUUAAAUUAUUAUCUCUAUAUUGUAAUAUUCUAUAAAAUAAUCUAACGAAAAUAACCUCUUUUCUCGUAUGAAAUAAAGAAAAUUUAAAUACAUAAAACAAAUAAAAAUCGAUAAUUAUAACAGUGCCGGGAAGUAUAUUUCAACGAUUAAUAAAAAGGUAUUCUUUUUUCAAAAAGUUACCAACAAAAAUUUUUCUUCGAAAUAAUUUAAAUUAGGUUAGAUCAAGUUUUAAUCGUAUGUUACAAAUUAAGAAAAAUUAACCCAAAGAAUUAAACAACUCGCUAUUUCCGUGAGAAGAGAAAAAAUCCAUCCACAAGGAGGGGAAAAAAUUGAUAGUAUCCAAGAGACGUUUUAAGAAUCCAGAAUAAAUUAUCAGAGGACGAGAAGAAAAAGAAAAAGAGAGGAGGAGAAAAUGUAAGGCAGAAAGGAAGCGGACAAAAGGAGCGACGUUUGACUACGUCCUACGUAAUUUCCUACAAGAGUUACUUUCAAUUAAGUCCUUUGUGCCAUACCGAUCGAUCCGCUCGCCAAUUCCCUUCAACUUAAUUAGACUAACGAUUUUUCAUGCCCGAUAUACGAAGUUUUGAACACGUGGACGUGAAAAUAACGCUGUUCACCCAUUCUCGUGUUUUCAAACAAUUCUUUCCCAGCUGGAUCGCGAACUCGCGCAGGCGCGCACGCUUGGAACAAAUCUCGCGAGUGGUGGGGGAAGAGGAAAAGGAGAGGGGGAAAGAAGUACAUCCAUCUUAUCUGUCGAUUCGCCGCUAAAUGAAUUCGCAAGUAAAUCGAUUAAUCUUUCCGCAAUGAAUACCUUUCGUCCAAGGAUCUUUUCGCUUGGGAAUUUCGAACGUUUCUGCCUUUAACUUUCUACUCUCGAGUAGAAGUACCAGAAAUCGUAUUAAGCAUUUUAAUCGGGAUAAUGGAGUGGCUCUCGACUCUCGUAACACACAGUUAUCGGUUGGAAUAGGCAUCGUUCGAAAAAUUAAAGGAAAUCGAAAAUUUUCUUCUCCCGGAGAAAAGACGUCUCCGUAAACUCGUAUAAGUAAACAAAAUUAGUCCCACGAGCUGUUAGAAACCGAGGCGCUGAUUAAACUUGAUUUACGUAAUCACAGUUGCCAACAAGUUCCGUGUAUCUUCUGCCGUAAAGUUUGCCGUCUGCUGUAAUUUCUUACGUAUAACGAUUAGUAUCAAACAGUGUUGAGUUUAUCCUUAAAAAAAUGACGCGUGAUCUAAAAUUAUACAACAAUUUAAUUAACGUUUUAUUAUUAUUCUAGGCAAGAAUAGGAUGAGAAACAAAUUAGUCUUCUUUAACUGGAAUAAUUUAUCGGCUGGAUAUAACGAACGAGAAGAGGGAAAAUAACACGUUGUUGGAUGGAAUUGAGAUGGGCGUGUUAAAAUGAAAUCGCAGUUUAAUAGUUUUUCCAAUUUAUUCAUACCUUUUUGCGAUAAAUUAUUAAUCGAUAAUUAUUAAGAAUUACAACUUAGAAAAUUUUCUUACGCAAUUUUCAAACAUUUUUUUUUUCUCAUGGAAAUUUCGAUCGAUAAUAUAAAUAAUCAUUAAACGUACAAGUAAUAAAUUAAGGAACGGAUAAAUAUGGAGAACGGUUUGAUAAACAGGUCACGACAGUUUGCGUCAAACGGUGCAUCUAUCGAUCGAAUAACGAACACCCACUCAUUGUCAGUUUCAUUCCCAAACGGUUGAUCCAAUCGAACAUAAACGUAAACGUAUUAAUAUCGUUUAACACGAUUCCAACCAGCUUUAUCCAUUCCCUCGCUGGUGAAGGUGUAAACGUUAGAUAAAUUGGCGUUGCAGGAUCAAAAAAAAAUAAAAAAAUAAAAAAAUAAAAAGGAAUCGAAGAGUUCGAGAAUAUAUCGAAAAUCGAGUUCGGAUUUCAAUCUUUCCUUUUUUUUUUUUUUUCUUUUUCUUUCUUCUUCGAACAGAAUGAAUCUUCGAUUCAUCCUUGAAAAAUUAUUAUUGGACGAAUGAUGGAUCGAGAUACUUGACUUCUUUCGAACAACUCUACGCUCUAUGAAACUGGAACGAAACUUUCCUAUUUGAGGGAGCAAUAAAAUCAAGAGAGGGCGCUCGGUACGACGAUCUAAAUAUUCUUUCGAAGAAUUACAGUCUGAAGUUAGAAACUUUUUUUUCUUUGAGACGCUCAACAGAACUUGGAAGAUUAUGUUCUCUCGAAGAAUCAAGCUCUCGAACGAAAUUUUCCUCUUUCGAGCGCUCAUACAAGCGAUCCAAACGAUUCGAUUAUAAUCCGAAGUUGGAAACUUUUGGAGGGGCGUUCAUAAAACGAUCCAAAUGAUUAGAAGAGUAUAUUCUUUCGAAAAACUAUACUUUCAAACUAUAAGGAAAUUUUUUUCUGUGGAAAAUUUUUUUGAAAAAUUAUAAUCUAAAAUUAGGAAUUUUUUUUUGAAGGUGUUCAUAAAACUAUCCAAAUGAUUAGAAGAUUAUAUUCUUUCGAAGAACUAUGCUUUCAAACUAUAGGAAAAUUUUCUUCUGUGGAAUGAAAUCGAAAAGAGGCGUUCAUAAAUAAAUAAUUCAAAUGAUUGGAAGAAUUCUUUUGAGGAAUUAUAAUCUGAAGUAAGAAACUUUUGGAGGUGUUCAUAAAACGAUCCAAAUGAUUAGAAGAAUACAUUUUUUCCUUAUUGGAAAAAUUCUUUUAAUCUGAAGUUAGAAACUUUUGGAGGCGUUCAUAAAACGAUCCAAAUGAUUAAAAAAGUAUGUUCUUUCGAAAAACUAUGCUUUUAAAUUAUAAGAAAAUUUUUUUCUGUGGAAUAAAAAAAUUGGAAAAAGUUUUUUGAAAAAUUAUAAUCUAAAAUUAGGAAUUUUUUUUUUGAAGGUGUUCAUAAAACGAUCCAAAUGAUUAGAAGAGUAUAUUCUUUCCUUAUUGGAAGAAUUCUUUUAAUCUGAAGUUAGAAACCUUUGGAGGCGUUCAUAAAACGAUCCAAAUGAUUAGAAGAGUAUAUUCUUUCCUUAUUGGAAGAAUUCUUUUAAUCUGAAGUUAGAAACCUUUGGAGGCGUUCAUAAAACGAUCCAAAUGAUUAGAAGAGUAUAUUCUUUC